This 250-nucleotide ribosomal RNA is filed under the name uncultured bacterium. RNAcentral describes it as "partial 16S ribosomal RNA". It matches the Rfam family "Bacterial small subunit ribosomal RNA", at positions 524 to 773 of the family's 1533-position model. The record is from RNAcentral.
UACGGAAGGUGCAAGCGUUAUCCGGAUUCACUAGGUUUAAAGGGAGCGUAGAUAGGAUGAUAAGUCAGUGGUGAAAUCUCCGAACUUAACUCGGAAACUGCCGUUGAUACUAUCAUUCUUGAAUAUUGUGGAGGUAAGCGGAAUAUGUCAUGUAGCGGUGAAAUGCUUAGAUAUGACAUAGAACACCGAUAGCGAAGGCAGCUUGCUACACAAUUAUUGACACUGAGGCUCGAAAGCGUGGAGAUCAAAC